Molecule: long non-coding RNA, 615 nt
Filed under: Phoenix dactylifera (date palm)
Lineage: Eukaryota; Viridiplantae; Streptophyta; Magnoliopsida; Arecales; Arecaceae
Description: long non-coding RNA (PDAC_LNC013935)
Source: RNAcentral
ACAUGAUGAAUUACAUUCAUACCUUCACGAAGGAUAACCUAAGAUUUCAUAAGUAUUAUGCUCAAUAAAGUUUUAGCAUGAAAUCAGCAUCAACCAUUUAUAUUAGAGAAGAAAUUUAAAUUUUGAAAAACUUAAAGGAGAAGGUUAUACAUAUUCAUUCAUUGUUUUCUUAUUAUCAUGCAAGCACUAGAAAAAUUUUAUGCUAAGAUCGUUGAGAUAAAAAUUCAACAUAUGAAGCAUUUAAGAACUUUGAUGCAGAGAGUAUUGUAAUUUUAUAAAAGGAUAAUUUUGAUACACGAUGUAGAAUGUUAAACCUUAUACUAGAUUUAAUGAAUAAAUUGAGACUUAUCUUUAAUUAGUUGUCAACGCACCCAUUUGUAUGAAAGUUUCAUUUGUUCCAUGGGUAGCUUGGCACACUUACAUCUACACCCUCAUAUUUUCAUUUUGGGUACCCAAGCUUGCUUGGGUCCUUGAGGGUUAGUGCAUAUGGUUCCUUUUGGAACCCAAAUCUGUUUAAACGUAAUAACUUUACCAUUUGAUUUAUUCGUAUUAGAACCAUAGGUAAAGUUUUUAUGCCCAAUCUUUUUAUGUUUGAAAUAAGUUAUCUUAUUUAAU